Molecule: small nucleolar RNA, 84 nt
Filed under: Penicilliopsis zonata CBS 506.65
Lineage: Eukaryota; Fungi; Ascomycota; Eurotiomycetes; Eurotiales; Aspergillaceae
Description: A. fumigatus snoRNA Afu_294
Rfam family: A. fumigatus snoRNA Afu_294
Source: Rfam by way of RNAcentral
UCACCUGAUGAACUCAAUUUUUUCGCUGUGUUCUUGCUGAACUACAUUGAAGAAACAAAAAAUUUCACCUUGGAGAACUGAUAU